UUGCACUAAAAAACAUCUUUAUAACUAGAGAAAUUCAGCACUUGAUUUUAUUCAUAUUUCUCUCUUAUGUUGUACAUCUAAAUAAAUAAAUAAAUGAAUGGGAUGUUUAGUUAGGAGGAAUUAGGGUCAGAAAUUGGAACGUGAAUAGAUGACUCCUAUUUCAAUUAUUUGGUUGGAAGAAAUCUCAUUUCGAUUUCGAUUUCGAAGUGAAAUGAGAAUAGCCCAAUCUACCUACAACUCCAUCCC
This 246-nucleotide long non-coding RNA is filed under the name Elaeis guineensis (African oil palm). RNAcentral's name for it is "long non-coding RNA (EGUI_LNC016253)". Lineage: Eukaryota; Viridiplantae; Streptophyta; Magnoliopsida; Arecales; Arecaceae. The record is from RNAcentral.